GAUGAACGCUGGCGGCGCGCCUAAUACAUGCAAGUCGAGCGAACGGACGAGAAGCUUGCUUCUCUGAUGUUAGCGGCGGACGGGUGAGUAACACGUGGAUAACCUACCUAUAAGACUGGGAUAAUUUCGGGAAACCGGAGCUAAUACCGGAUAAUAUUUUGAACCGCAUGGUUCAAAAGUGAAAGACGGUCUUGCUGUCACUUAUAGAUGGAUCCGCGCUGCAUUAGCUAGUUGGUAAGGUAACGGCUUACCAAGGCAACGAUGCAUAGCCGACCUGAGAGGGUGAUCGGCCACACUGGAACUGAGACACGGUCCAGACUCCUACGGGAGGCAGCAGUAGGGAAUCUUCCGCAAUGGGCGAAAGCCUGACGGAGCAACGCCGCGUGAGUGAUGAAGGUCUUCGGAUCGUAAAACUCUGUUAUUAGGGAAGAACAUAUGUGUAAGUAACUGUGCACAUCUUGACGGUACCUAAUCAGAAAGCCACGGCUAACUACGUG
RNAcentral lists this ribosomal RNA (497 nucleotides) under uncultured bacterium. RNAcentral describes it as "partial 16S ribosomal RNA". It matches the Rfam family "Bacterial small subunit ribosomal RNA", at positions 28 to 507 of the family's 1533-position model. The record is from RNAcentral.